GUAGGAGCAGACGCCGGGCAGGCCGCGGCCCCUCCCCGCUCCCUCCUCGCGCGCCUCCGCCGGCUACAUUGCCCCUCCUGGGCAGGGGGCGGAGAAGACGGCGGCGGUAGGGGAGGAGGCGGCGGCGGCGGAGGCGGGAUUUGGAGUUUCCCUCCGCAGCGGCGGCGGCGGCGGCGGCGGCAGCGGCCGCUUGGCUCCAGGCGAGGCCGCCGCCCGAGGCUCCGGUGGGGCGCGGCGGCCGCGGCGGUAGUGCUUCCCGCCGGCCCGGCUUUUGGAAACUUCCCGGCCGCGACGCGCGGAGCCGGCACAGGAAGCCGAGCGGAACGGAGACAUCCCACCCACGUUCCCAGCCCAGAGACGCUGCCAUCCACCCACCCCUGGACGAAGCCCCAGCAGGAACCCCCACCCAGAGGCGACACCGCACUCCUGAAGCCCAGCUGGCUCCCCAGGCCUGCACCUUGUACACCCCCAACAUGUGUGCACACCUGUGGGAUUCUGGAUCUUGGGCACCCUGGCCCACCCCCAUGGCACAUAGCCCUCCACGUCCUCUAACACAUCUCAGUCCCUCCCACCAAGCACCCUCCAACACCUGGCACACGGGUUCUGGAGGCUGCAGCAUUUGGUGGCAUCUCUGCCAGGCGCCUCUGGCUCGCCUUUGCAGCAGUGGCUCGCCACCCUGAGGCCCCCCAAGUGGCUCCCUAAACAGGCCCUGAGUCUCCCCAGUGGCUGACUUGGCCUGGUCCCUAAGAGAUAAGAAAGGCACUGGGGGUGCAAGGUACCAUACUUAGAUGGGGGAGGGCAAGGGAGAGGCAGGCAACUGAGAUGGAGGCCACCCAGCUGCGGCCAAAGGGGCCCCAGGUAUUGGCACGCACGUAGUAGGUGGCUUUCCUGGAGGCAGGAGUCGGAGUACCCGUGUGUGUGUGUGUGUGUGUGUGUGCCCGCCUGCCCGUGCGGUGGGGGGCAGCGCGGGGGGGGGGGGGGGAACCGCGUGUGCACGUGUGCUUCUGCGUGUCUGGGUGUGUGACCCGCUGAGGGAGAAAGCAGAACCGGCCACCCCCCGGGCUCCCUGGUGCA
This 1074-nucleotide long non-coding RNA is filed under the name Cervus hanglu yarkandensis (Yarkand deer). Its description in RNAcentral is "lncRNA (ENSCHYG00000026378.1)". The record is from RNAcentral. Lineage: Eukaryota; Metazoa; Chordata; Mammalia; Artiodactyla; Cervidae.